RNAcentral lists this long non-coding RNA (470 nucleotides) under Selaginella moellendorffii. Its description in RNAcentral is "long non-coding RNA (SMOE_LNC002227)". Lineage: Eukaryota; Viridiplantae; Streptophyta; Lycopodiopsida; Selaginellales; Selaginellaceae. The record is from RNAcentral.
GACUAUGCGUCUGCAGCGAAGAUAGCCAUUGUGCCCCUGAACAGAACUUCUUUUGCAGGCCCGGAGUGUUCUUCAAAGCCGCCAGAGUCUGCCGAACAAGCUCGUAAGUGACAGCAGCGAUAGAAAUAAAACGAGCAUGAAUGGAAAACAAUGCAGAAUGAAAAGAGCGUCAUACCAGCUUUGUAGAUCGACACAAGGCGUUCAACAGUGUAACGAACUUCCGGAAGCAAAUCUUCGUUUCUGCCACCAAUGCCUAUAACAGCUCAAAUGUGAUUUACAUACCCAGCCGCGCGAGAACAGUCUACCUGGAUCGCGGUAAGAUCAAUGAAAAAAUGUAAUAGGCAAAAGAACAGCAGAUAGAAUGAAAAGAAGGAAGACCACGCUCGGCCGACGUCGAAGCGCUAAUGGCCUUCCCAUUUCAAUCUUGGAUGGAUUCAUACCUCUCGCGGAAGCUCCUAAAUGGAAAGAGA